This 339-nucleotide unclassified non-coding RNA is filed under the name soil metagenome. Its description in RNAcentral is "partial contains 5.8S ribosomal RNA, internal transcribed spacer 2, and large subunit ribosomal RNA". The stretch from base 1 to 120 matches the Rfam family "5.8S ribosomal RNA", at positions 35 to 154 of the family's 154-position model. The record is from RNAcentral.
GAUGAAGAACGCAGCGAAAUGCGAUAACUAAUGUGAAUUGCAGAAUUCAGUGAAUCAUCGAGUCUUUGAACGCACAUUGCGCCCCCUGGUAUUCCGGGGGGCAUGCCUGUCCGAGCGUCAUUGCUGCCCUCAAGCACGGCUUGUGUGUUGGGCUCCGUCCCCCCGGGGACGGGCCCGAAAGGCAGCGGCGGCACCGAGUCCGGUCCUCGAGCGUAUGGGGCUUUGUCACCCGCUCUGUAGGCCCGGCCGGCGCCAGCCGACACAUCAAUCUUUUUUCCAGGUUGACCUCGGAUCAGGUAGGGAUACCCGCUGAACUUAAGCAUAUCAAUAAGCGGAGGA